UAACUAUUAAGCGCUGCUUGGUAUUAGAUGUAACUUGCUUUUGAUGCAUCUUAAAAGCAUUAGUACUAGCAUUUAGCUUUUAGUGUAGUAAAUUUUCUCGCUGUAAGGCUUAGAUGCUUGCCUGCCAGAACUAUUAUUUCAAAGGUUAACCUCGGAUUAGGUACUUAAGCAUAUCAAUAAGCGGAGGCU
Molecule: unclassified non-coding RNA, 189 nt
Filed under: uncultured Ascomycota
Lineage: Eukaryota; Fungi; Ascomycota
Description: sequence contains ITS2
Source: RNAcentral